UUAAAUUCAUUUUUCACAAAAUCACACCUCAAAUACAUCAAAUUUCUUUUCCACAAAAUCACAAAUAAUGUCCUAAAUGCAAACUAAAAGUUUGGAAGGAGCCCUUACCCUAACGAUAGCUCUAACAUGCGAUUACGGUAGUGUAAUUAAUUCCGAUAAAAUUUAAGUUCGUGACGUCGCGUCGAAAACUAGAUCACUAACACCGCAGCGUGGCGAUGAGUAAUUUUCUCUUCUGUCACUUCUCGAAUGGAAGCUUAGAUCUAGUAAAUAAAUGGGGGUUUGUGUUUUAUGGUUUUAGUUUUGUUUUUGGAAAACAAAGGAAAGAAGGAGAAGAAGUUUAACGAUUGCUUUCUGUUUCUCUGUGCCCGUUUCCUUGCUUUCUUC
This 384-nucleotide long non-coding RNA is filed under the name Cicer arietinum (chickpea). RNAcentral describes it as "long non-coding RNA (CARI_LNC001835)". Lineage: Eukaryota; Viridiplantae; Streptophyta; Magnoliopsida; Fabales; Fabaceae. The record is from RNAcentral.